AACGAACGCUGGCGGCAUGCCUAACACAUGCAAGUCGAACGAGACCGUCGGGUCUAGUUGCGCACGUGUGCGUAACGCGGGGUAACCUGCCCUUAGGUUCGGAAUAACUCCCCGAAAGGGGUCCUAAUACCGGAUAAUGUCUUCGGACCUAAGAUUUAUCGCUUCUGGGUGGGCGCGCGUUGGAUUAGCCAGUUGGUAGGGUAAAAGCCUGCCAAGGAGACGAUGCAGGGCUGGUGUGUGAGGAUGAUCGGCCACACUGGGGCUGAGACACGGCCCAGACUCGUACGCGAGGGAGCAGUGGGGAAUAUUGGAGGAUGGGCGCAAGUCUGGUCCAGCAAUGCCGCGUGAGUGAUGAAGGCGUUAGGGUUGUAAAGCUCUUUUAGACGGGAUGAUAAUGACAGUACCGGGAGAAUAAGCACCGGCUAACUACGUG
Molecule: ribosomal RNA, 433 nt
Filed under: uncultured bacterium
Lineage: Bacteria
Description: partial 16S ribosomal RNA
Rfam family: Bacterial small subunit ribosomal RNA
Source: RNAcentral